AGUGAACGCUGGCGGUAGGCCUAACACAUGCAAGUCGAACGGCAGCACAGUAAGAGCUUGCUCUUACGGGUGGCGAGUGGCGGACGGGUGAGGAAUACAUCGGCAUCUACUUUUUCGUGGGGGAUAACGUAGGGAAACUUACGCUAAUACCGCAUACGACCUACGGGUGAAAGCAGGGGAUCUUCGGACCUUGCGCGAUUGAAUGAGCCGAUGUCGGAUUAGCUAGUUGGCGGGGUAAAGGCCCACCAAGACGACGAUCCGUAGCUGGUCUGAGAGGAUGAUCUGCCACACUGUAACUGAGAGACGGUCCAGACUCCGACGGGAGGCGGCAGUGUGGAAUAUUGGACGAAGGGCGCAAGCCUGAUCCAGCCAUACCGCGUGGGUGAAGAAGGCCUUCUGGUUGUAAAACCCUUUUGUUGGGAAAGAAAAGCAGCAGGUUAAUACCCCGCUGUUCUGACGGUACCCAAAGAAUAAGCACCGGCUAACUUCGUG
RNAcentral lists this ribosomal RNA (492 nucleotides) under uncultured bacterium. Its description in RNAcentral is "partial 16S ribosomal RNA". It matches the Rfam family "Bacterial small subunit ribosomal RNA", at positions 29 to 507 of the family's 1533-position model. The record is from RNAcentral.